Molecule: ribosomal RNA, 161 nt
Filed under: Acinetobacter baumannii
Lineage: Bacteria; Pseudomonadati; Pseudomonadota; Gammaproteobacteria; Moraxellales; Moraxellaceae
Description: partial 16S ribosomal RNA
Rfam family: Bacterial small subunit ribosomal RNA
Source: RNAcentral
UUUAACUGAAGAGUUUGAUCAUGGCUCAGAUUGAACGCUGGCGGCAGGCUUAACACAUGCAAGUCGAGCGGGGGAAGGUAGCUUGCUACUGGACCUAGCGGCGGACGGGUGAGUAAUGCUUAGGAAUCUGCCUAUUAGUGGGGGACAACAUCUCGAAAGGG